Molecule: small nucleolar RNA, 81 nt
Organism: Phragmites australis (common reed)
Lineage: Eukaryota; Viridiplantae; Streptophyta; Magnoliopsida; Poales; Poaceae
Product: small nucleolar RNA Z199
Exons: 1
Source: RefSeq, a predicted model, not a curated record
GGGUCAAUUGAUGAGGCAUUAACUGCAACAAUAUGAUGGGGUUGUCCUCAUGAUUCCUAGGUAUUUAAGUCUCUGAUGAUC